RNAcentral lists this signal recognition particle RNA (300 nucleotides) under Aotus nancymaae (Ma's night monkey). RNAcentral's name for it is "Metazoan signal recognition particle RNA (ENSANAG00000010140.1)". It matches the Rfam family "Metazoan signal recognition particle RNA". Rfam says of the family: The signal recognition particle (SRP) is a universally conserved ribonucleoprotein. The record is from RNAcentral. Lineage: Eukaryota; Metazoa; Chordata; Mammalia; Primates; Aotidae.
GCCGGGCCUGGUGGUGUGUGCCUGUAGUCCCAGCUACUUGGGAGGCUGAGGCUGGAGGAUCGCUUGAGUCCAGGAGUUCUGGGCUGUAGUGUGCUAUGCUGAUCGGGUGUCCACACUAAGUUUGGCAUCAAUAUGGUUACCUCCCGGGAGUAGGGGACUACCAGGUUGCCUAAGGAGGGGUGAACCUGCCCAGGUCAGAAACAGGAGCAGGUCAAAACUCCUGUGCUGAUCAGUAGUGGGAUCGUGUCUGUGAACAGCCACUGCACUCCAGCCUGGGCAACACAGCAAGACCUCAUCUCU